AUUGAACACUGGCGGCAUGCCUUACACAUGCAAGUCGAACGGUAACAGGUCUUCGGAUGCUGACGAGUGGCGAACGGGUGAGUAAUGCAUCGGAACGUGCCCAGUAGUGGGGGAUAGCCCGGCGAAAGCCGGAUUAAUACCGCAUACGACCUGAGGGUGAAAGGGGGGGAUCGCAAGACCUCUCGCUAUUGGAGCGGCCGAUGUCAGAUUAGCUAGUUGGUGGGGUAAAGGCCUACCAAGGCAACGAUCUGUAGUUGGUCUGAGAGGACGACCAGCGACACUGGGACUGAGACACGGCCCAGACUCCUACGGAAGGCAGCAGUGGGGAAUUUUGGACAAUGGGCGCAAGCCUGAUCCAGCAAUGCCGCGUGCAGGAAGAAGGCCUUCGGGUUGUAAACUGCUUGUGUCAGGGAAGAAGUCUUCUGGGUUAAUACCUCGGGAGGAUGACGGUACCUGAAGAAUAAGCACCGGCUAACUACGUGCCAGCCGCCGCCGUAA
RNAcentral lists this ribosomal RNA (498 nucleotides) under uncultured bacterium. RNAcentral's name for it is "partial 16S ribosomal RNA". It matches the Rfam family "Bacterial small subunit ribosomal RNA", at positions 30 to 523 of the family's 1533-position model. The record is from RNAcentral.